GAAGCAAAUCACCCAACCGUAAAAGUGAUCCGGCAGAGUCGCCGCACUGGAAAACUUUGCCACUGGUAAGCUUUCAUUUUUCAACUUUUUUUGGCCAACCGAGUCCCCUUAACGUAUUUUCUCCCAGGGAUGGAUACAAAACCGGCCGAAAUCUCGCUACAGUAAGUAUGCGGUAAAUUAUUUUAUUCAUGAAAAAUAAAU
RNAcentral lists this long non-coding RNA (201 nucleotides) under Carica papaya (papaya). Its description in RNAcentral is "long non-coding RNA (CPAP_LNC013949)". Lineage: Eukaryota; Viridiplantae; Streptophyta; Magnoliopsida; Brassicales; Caricaceae. The record is from RNAcentral.